GCAGUCGAGCGGACUUUAAAGCUUGCUUUUAAGUUAGCGGCGGACGGGUGAGUAACACGUGGGCAACCUGCCUGUAAGACUGGGAUAACUUCGGGAAACCGGAGCUAAUACCGGAUAAUCCUUUUCCUCUCAUGAGGAAAAGCUGAAAGACGGCUUCUCGCUGUCACUUACAAAUGGGCCCGCGGCGCAUUACCUAGUUGGUGAGGUAACGGCUCACCAAGGCAACAAUGCGUACCCAACCUGAAAGGGUGAUCGGCCACACUGGGACUGAAACACGGCCCAAACUCCUACGGGAGGCAGCAGUAGGGAAUCUUCC
This 316-nucleotide ribosomal RNA is filed under the name Niallia circulans. RNAcentral describes it as "bacterial SSU rRNA". It matches the Rfam family "Bacterial small subunit ribosomal RNA", at positions 57 to 367 of the family's 1533-position model. The record is from RNAcentral. Lineage: Bacteria; Bacillati; Bacillota; Bacilli; Caryophanales; Bacillaceae.